GACGAACCGAGCGAACGUUGUUCGGAAUCACUGGGCUUAAAGAGCGCGCAGGCGGUCGUUCAAGUCGCGUGUGAAAGCCCCCGGCUCAACUGGGGAGGGUCACGCGAUACUGAUCGACUCGAAGGCAGGAGAGGGUAGUGGAAUUUCCGGUGUAGCGGUGAAAUGCGUAGAUAUCGGAAGGAACAUCAGUGGCGAAAGCGGCUUCCUGGACCAGAACUGACGAUCAGGCUCGAAAGCGUGGGGAGCAAACAGG
Molecule: ribosomal RNA, 253 nt
Filed under: uncultured bacterium
Lineage: Bacteria
Description: partial 16S ribosomal RNA
Rfam family: Bacterial small subunit ribosomal RNA
Source: RNAcentral